GAUGAACGCUGGGGGUGUGCUUAACACAUGCAAGUCGAACGGAAAGGCUCCUGCUUGCAGGGGUACUCGAGUGGCGAACGGGGGCGUAACACGUGGGCGAUCUGCUCUGCACUUCGGGAUAAGCCUGGGAAACGGGGCCUACUAUCGGACAGGACGCUGGCUUGGAUGCCAUUGUGGAAAGUUUUGCGGUGUGAGAUGGGCUCGCGGCCUAUCAGCUUGUUGGUGGGGGAAGGGGCUACCAAGCCGUCGGCGGGUAGCCGGCCUGAGAGGGUGUACGGCCACCUUGCGCCUGCGGUACGGCGCAGACUCGUAUGGGAGACAGCAGGGGGGAGUAUUGCACAAUGAGAGCAAGCCUGUUGCAGCGGCGCCGCGUGGGGGAUGACGGCCUUCGGGUAGUGAACUCCUUUCGCUUGGAACGAAGCUCUAGUGACGGUACCUGGAGAAGAAGCACCGGCUAACUACGUG
Molecule: ribosomal RNA, 465 nt
Filed under: uncultured bacterium
Lineage: Bacteria
Description: partial 16S ribosomal RNA
Rfam family: Bacterial small subunit ribosomal RNA
Source: RNAcentral